AACGAACGCUGGCGGCGCGUCUUAAGCAUGCAAGUCGAACGGCAAGAUUUGUGCUUGCACAAAUCCUAGAGUGGCGGACUGGUGAGUAACACGUGGGUGACAUACCCUUCAGUUGGGGAUAGCUACUAGAAAUAGUAGAUAAUACCGAAUACGACCAUAGUUGUUAGAGGACUAUGAGGAAAGGACCGAAUGGUUUGCUGAAGGAUUGGGCCCCGCGGCCCAUUAGCUAGUUGGUGUGGUAAAGGCAUACCAAGGCGAUGAUGGGUAUCCGGCCUGAGAGGGUGAUCGGACACAUUGGGACUGAGAUACGGCCCAGACUCCUACGGGAGGCAGCAGUGGGGAAUAUUGGGCAAUGGGGGAAACCCUGACCCAGCAACGCCGCGUGAAGGAAG
Molecule: ribosomal RNA, 392 nt
Filed under: uncultured bacterium
Lineage: Bacteria
Description: bacterial SSU rRNA
Rfam family: Bacterial small subunit ribosomal RNA
Source: RNAcentral